GACGAACGCUGGCGGCGUGCCUAACACAUGCAAGUCGAACGGAAAGGCCCUGCUUUUGUGGGGUGCUCGAGUGGCGAACGGGUGAGUAACACGUGAGUAACCUGCCCUUGACUUUGGGAUAACUUCAGGAAAGUGGGGCUAAUACCGGACAGGAGCUCCCGCUGCAGGGUGGGGGUUGGAAAGUUUCGGCGGUUGGGGAUGGACUGGCGGCUUAUCAGCUUGUUGGUGGGGUAGUGGCAUACCAAGGCUUUGACGGGUAGCCGGCCUGGGAGGGUGGCCGGCCACAUUAGGACUGAGAUACGGCCCAGACCCGAACGGGAGGCAACGGUGGGGAGUAUUGUACAGUGGGCGGGAGCCUGGUGCAACGACGCCGCGUGCGGGAUGACAGCCUUCGGGUUGUGAACCGCUUUCGCCUGAGACGAAGCGUGAGUGACGGUAAUGGGUGAAGAAGCACCGGCUAACUACGUG
Molecule: ribosomal RNA, 468 nt
Filed under: uncultured bacterium
Lineage: Bacteria
Description: partial 16S ribosomal RNA
Rfam family: Bacterial small subunit ribosomal RNA
Source: RNAcentral